AUACGUAGGGAGCGAGCGUUGUCCGGAAUUACUGGGUGUAAAGGGAGCGUAGGCGGGAGUGCAAGUCAGAUGUGAAAUACAUGGGCUCAACCCAUGGGCUGCAUUUGAAACUGCAUUUCUUGAGUGAAGUAGAGGUAAGCGGAAUUCCUGGUGUAGCGGUGAAAUGCGUAGAUAUCAGGAGGAACACCGGUGGCGAAGGCGGCUUACUGGGCUUUUACUGACGCUGAGGCUCGAAAGCGUGGGGAGCAAACAGGAUUAGAUACCCUGGUAGUCCACGCUGUAAACGAUGAUUACUAGGUGUGGGGGGACUGACCCCUUCCGUGCCGCAGUUAACACAAUAAGUAAUCCACCUGGGGAGUACAGCCGCAAGGUUGAAACUCAAAUGAAUUGACGGGG
RNAcentral lists this ribosomal RNA (396 nucleotides) under uncultured bacterium. Its description in RNAcentral is "partial 16S ribosomal RNA". It matches the Rfam family "Bacterial small subunit ribosomal RNA", at positions 523 to 918 of the family's 1533-position model. The record is from RNAcentral.